CGUACACUCCUGCGGGAGGCAGCAGUGGGGAAUAUUGCACAAUGGGCGCAAGCCUGAUGCAGCCAUGCCGCGUGUAUGAAGAAGGCCUUCGGGUUGUAAAGUACUUUCAGCGGGGAGGAAGGCGAUAAGGUUAAUAACCUUGUUGAUUGACGUUACCCGCAGAAGAAGCACCGGCUAACUCCGUGCCAGCAGCCGCGGUAAUACGGAGGGUGCAAGCGUUAAUCGGAAUUACUGGGCGUAAAGCGCACGCAGGCGGUCUGUCAAGUCGGAUGUGAAAUCCCCGGGCUCAACCUGGGAACUGCAUUCGAAACUGGCAGGCUAGAGUCUUGUAGAGGGGGGUAGAAUUCCAGGUGUAGCGGUGAAAUGCGUAGAGAUCUGGAGGAAUACCGGUGGCGAAGGCGGCCCCCUGGACAAAGACUGACGCUCAGGUGCGAAAGCGUGGGGAGCAAACAGGAUUAGAAACCCUUGUAGUCCCAUGA
This 479-nucleotide ribosomal RNA is filed under the name uncultured organism. RNAcentral's name for it is "partial 16S ribosomal RNA". It matches the Rfam family "Bacterial small subunit ribosomal RNA", at positions 330 to 800 of the family's 1533-position model. The record is from RNAcentral.